GUCUGUGGAAAGGAGGAACUACUACAAGA
This 29-nucleotide non-coding RNA is filed under the name Cricetulus griseus (Chinese hamster). The record is from RNAcentral. Lineage: Eukaryota; Metazoa; Chordata; Mammalia; Rodentia; Cricetidae.